This 210-nucleotide long non-coding RNA is filed under the name Mytilus galloprovincialis (Mediterranean mussel). Lineage: Eukaryota; Metazoa; Mollusca; Bivalvia; Mytilida; Mytilidae. The record is from RNAcentral.
AGAAUGUGUCCUCAGUACACGAAUGCCCCACUUGCACUAUCAUUUUCUAUGUUCAGUGGACCGUGAAAUUGGGGUAAAAUCUCUAAUUUGGCAUUAAAAUUAGAAAGAUCAUAUCAUAGGGAACAUGUGUACCAAGUUUGAAGUCGAUUGGACUUCAACUUCAUCAAAAACUACCUCGACCAAAAACUUUAACCUGAAACGGGACAGACG